UAUAAGACCCUUGACCUCAGGCCCACCUCUCCCAAAGCCAAAUCUCUGCUCACCCCGUAGGCUCGGCCCUUGACACUCGGCCCCAGAUGGAUAUCUCCGGGUGGGGCCCCUGACCUCCGCCCCUCGAUCCCCACCAGCGGAAGACCCAGACUCUGGAGGACGCGACGCAGUCCUACUUCCACGACGGAACCGGAAGGACGCAGAGAGCAGCGGGGCGGGGCCUCCACGGCGGGCAUCCGGGAACCCGGACCACCAAGUCGCCAUUGUGUCGCGCCCGAAGCGGAGCCGGGGAUUGGCGAGCCCGAAGGACGCCGGGUUGAAGACCCGCGCGAGAGGAGAGAGAGCCGUUUCCUGUCGAGGAGGAAAGAGGAAACUGAAAACACCGGAUAAAGGCUGCUCUGGUGGCAGGAUUUAGAGGGGAAUUAAUUGCUUAGAGAUUAGCUCUUGGGCUGAAGCCCCCCAAAGCCUCGGAAGGUGACUCGGAAGCCACAGGGGGAACGCGGGCUUCUCGGUUACCGAGCACCGAGCCCACAGGCUGGCUGGCAGGACUGCCCGCCCUAGGCAGCGCAGCAGAUUGUUCGCCAUAUGUUCUAGAAUGAGUGAUUAUUACCACUUCUGGGACACUUCAUAAAGAGGAUAAAAUCAAGGCACUCGUCACAGGUUCAGCAGGUUAUUUUAAAGUCACCAGUUAAGUUAAGCAGUGCUUGGAAUAGUGUCAGAUUAUGACUGGCCAAGGAGGAUAGAGGAUAGAGGAGCACAGAUUGUCAAGAGAACUUUCCGAGAAAAAGAACAUUGGAAGAAUAAGGGCAGGAGUAGUCAGAGGAAGGUGACAACGAGGCAAAAUUAUAGAAAACAGGUCCUACAAAACCCGGGUUUUUGUUUUGUUUUUUGGUUAAUCCUCACCCGAGGAUAUUUUUUCAUUGAUUUUUAGGGAGAGUGGGAAAGACAGAAACAUGGAUGUGAGAGAAAUACAUGAAUGGGU
This is a long non-coding RNA of Myotis lucifugus (little brown bat), 982 nucleotides long. RefSeq lists it as uncharacterized. The transcript is spliced from 3 exons. Lineage: Eukaryota; Metazoa; Chordata; Mammalia; Chiroptera; Vespertilionidae. The record is from RefSeq and is a predicted model, not a curated record.